CAACAGCCUCUCGUUCCAACAUCCGCACCUGGUUUCUGACGCGCGUGCAACACUGCAAGCUAGCCAAGCCAGCCCAUGGGCUUUAACCUGCCUUUUCUCUUUGUACCAUGCCUUAGCCCAAGAAUGUCUUGAUCAACCCAAAACAUAUUUAGGAAAAAGUACACCGAAGGUCCCUCAGCUUGUCAUCGAGUUACAAAAUCGUCCCCUAACUGCAAAAUCGGAUACAACGCAUCCUCCAACUUACAAAACCACUACAAACUAGGUCCCUCGGCGGUUUUGACCCCAGUUUUGUAUGACGUGGAGGCUGAGUCAGCGUGGGACCCACGUGGGCCCCACAUGUCAGAAUGCCACAUCAGCAAGGUCUCUCUCCCCUGCCACGUCAGCAAGGUCUGUCUUCCCUCUCCCUUCCUCUCUCUAAUCUCUAUCUCACUCUUCUCUCUGGGCAGGCCGUCCGGUGGUGGAGAGGAGGUCCGACGGCCGGCCGGCGAUGCUGGAGAAGGAGCGACGCGGCGCCGGCAGGCCGGGAGCAAGCAGGCGCCGCGGCGGUAGGCGCGGAGGCGGGCGCCGUGGCGGCGGUUGGCGCAGGGGCGACGGAGGAUGGAGGAGGACGGUCGGAGCGAAGCUCAACGAUGCGAGUCCUGUGACGAGUGGCCACUUGCGAUAGGGGCGACGACGCUCGGGCAUUCCCGGAUUGGCCCGGCGUGACUGCCGCUCUGAUUGAGACCAGUGGAGGCGGUUGCGCUCCGAUGUGAUUUGGUGGCGAGUAAAGACGGAGCGAGCUUUGCCUCUAUGUGGCGGGGCUAGGGUCUUCUAGCGACGAGGCGGCUUAGGGUGAGCAGCCCGCGGGCGGCAUCAUGGUUGGGACUUGGGGGCGCGGCUAGGCGAGGGAGGAGGUUGUUGUCGAGCUUGUAUGCUGUUAGAGAAAGGAGAGAGAAAAUGAAAUCGUGUAGCUCGAAUUUGUAUGCUGUUAUUUGAUAGUAUCUGCAGGUAUGAGUCUCGAAGCUGAUGAGCAUUCGAUGAUUAAAUUUUAGUUGCAUUGCAUCUUCAAACAGUCCCCUCAGUUCGUGCUUAUAUGAUUUAUUUACAGAAAUGAUAUUGUAGUGUUUGAAUGGAUUCAGGUUCUGAAGAGUUCUGGAGCUUAUUAAGAGUGCGCUUCUGGCAGCACUAGAAGCUCCGAUUCCAGGCUCCCUGUUUAGACAGUAUGAUGUACAAGGUCCAAUUCCAGUUAUAAAAGAUGUUUUUAUCCCUCCAGACACAGAAGAAGAUGGGCUGCCUGCUGCCCUUGAAGAUGCCAUGCCUCUAAUUUCUUUUUUGGCCCCUCUAUAUCGACACAUGCAAAGAUCGAAUUGCUGCUGCCCUUGAUAAAUUGCGAUUUACGACAUACAUCUUCGUGGGAGCGAGGUGCUGCUUCUGGGCAGGAACCUGAUACUGUUUUACUUGGUGGCCGAGGUUUUGGAGCAGCCAUGUCUGCUCUAACUGACGCCCUCCCCCGACGUCCUGCUUCUCUCCGCCGGCCGCCUCCUGCUCUGCUCCCGCCGUCGCCUCACCCGUGUGAAGCCGCUACACGCCGCUGGCGUCGCUGCCGCUGGAGCCGGGUCCACGUCCCGCCGCCGUCGAGGUCGCCCACAAGCCACAUCCGGCGGAGAGGAGGCGCCCCUCCUCUGCCCUUUUGCUGCCUGACCCAGGCGUGGUGGCCUCCUCCCGUCGCAGCUGCCGCCGCCGCCGCCGGUUCUCCUCCUCUCCCGCCUCGUCCCGGGUGACCUCCUCCCCACCCCACCCGUCGGCCGGCUUGCCCAAAGGAGAAAAGCGAGAAAGGGAGAGAGAGGGUUGAUGACGUGGCAUCCUGACAUGUGGGUCCCACGCUGAGUUAGCCGCCACGUUGGAUAAAACCGGGUUCAAAACCACUCAAGGACCUAAAGCGAACGGUUUUGUAAGUUGAGGUAUGUAAUAUAUCUGGUUUUAUGGUUGAGGGACGAUUGUGUAACUCGAUGACAAGUUGAGGGACCUUGGGUGUACUUUUUCCAACAUAUUUAUACCUAGACUAUAUACUUCACAUA
This is a non-coding RNA of Oryza sativa Japonica Group (Japanese rice), 2057 nucleotides long. The record is from RefSeq and is a predicted model, not a curated record. NCBI's taxonomy places the organism in Eukaryota, Viridiplantae, Streptophyta, Magnoliopsida, Poales, Poaceae.